CCUACGGGUGGCUGCAGUGGGGAAUAUUGGACAAUGGGGGCAACCCUGAUCCAGCCAUGCCGCGUGUGUGAAGAAGGCCCUCGGGUUGUAAAGCACUUUCAGUGAGGAAGAACGCCUGGUGGUUAAUACCCAUCAGGAAAGACAUCACUCACAGAAGAAGCACCGGCUAACUCCGUGCCAGCAGCCGCGGUAAUACGGAGGGUGCGAGCGUUAAUCGGAAUUACUGGGCGUAAAGCGCGCGUAGGUGGCUUGAUAAGCCGGUUGUGAAAGCCCCGGGCUCAACCUGGGAACGGCAUCCGGAACUGUCAAGCUAGAGUGCAGGAGAGGAAGGUAGAAUUCCCGGUGUAGCGGUGAAAUGCGUAGAGAUCGGGAGGAAUACCAGUGGCGAAGGCGGCCUUCUGGACUGACACUGACACUGAGGUGCGAAAGCGUGGGUAGCAAACAGGAUUAGAUACCCCGAUAGUC
This 465-nucleotide ribosomal RNA is filed under the name Vreelandella stevensii. RNAcentral describes it as "partial 16S ribosomal RNA". It matches the Rfam family "Bacterial small subunit ribosomal RNA", at positions 338 to 795 of the family's 1533-position model. Lineage: Bacteria; Pseudomonadati; Pseudomonadota; Gammaproteobacteria; Oceanospirillales; Halomonadaceae. The record is from RNAcentral.